Molecule: long non-coding RNA, 733 nt
Organism: Nicotiana tabacum (common tobacco)
Lineage: Eukaryota; Viridiplantae; Streptophyta; Magnoliopsida; Solanales; Solanaceae
Source: RefSeq, a predicted model, not a curated record
CUCCUUGUAUGUUUCAUAGUGUGACCUUCGAUUCUUCCUUUGAGCCGAGGGUCUUUAGGAAACAAUAAGACUGGAAGUGGGUUCAUAACGAUGGUCAAUCAAACGGAUGGUAACACUUACAAUCUUCAAUUAAAUGGUGGUCAUGAGAAUGGCAGAGCCAAAGAGUUCAACACUAAUCCGGCGAGAAACGACUGGAUUCCCAGCGGUGAAGAUUAUCAGGCUUAUUAAUCAGGUUGGAUUGACGUCCUCAAAACCCACCCGGAGUGAAAGUGAUAGAUCAAUUUAAAGUCAAGAAUCAACCAGAUGCUGAAGGUGGUCCCUUCUAUUUACCUGAAUUUGUUAAUCUUGAAUGAUUGGAGAGAGACAUGAGAGAUGAUACCACGUCCUUAGGUUGAUUAUUUUAUACUGGUUUGUAUCUGAAUAGUAUAUAAUUUCUAGUAGGGACGAUGCCAAGGCUGUUUUCGUGAUUGGCUAAUAAAAAGUUAUUGUAAGCAAACGCUGCCAAUGGUAGAAACUGAUUCUGGUGGCCUCUGAAAUCAAAUAACACAUGCUCUUAACAUAUUCUCAAGGAUCGCCUAUCAGUCCGUGGGUGAAAUGAAGUACUAAGCUCCACAUGCAUGCCAACUAUUGUGUUGAUUAACAUUGGGCAUCGAUAGUUUCCUUUUUUUAAGCUGAGCUACUGUUUGCCUUCUUUUCUUUGGGUUUUAUUUAUCCAUCAAUCAGCUUUAAACUA